CAGGCGCGAAAACUUUACAAUGCGGGAAACCGUGAUAAGGGGACACCGAGUGUCAGCAUCAUAUGCUGGCUGUCCAGGUGUGUAAAAUACACCUGUUAGCAAGGGCCGGGCAAGACCGGUGCCAGCCGCCGCGGUAACACCGGCGGCCCGAGUGGUGAUCGUGAUUAUUGGGUCUAAAGGGUCCGUAGCCGGUUUGGUCAGUCCUCCGGGAAAUCUGAUAGCUCAACUAUUAGGCUAUCGGGGGAUACUGCCAGACUUGGAACCGGGAGAGGUAAGAGGUACUACAGGGGUAGGAGUGAAAUCUUGUAAUCCCUGUGGGACCACCUGUGGCGAAGGCGUCUUACCAGAACGGGUUCGACGGUGAGGGACGAAAGCUGGGGGCACGAACCGGAUUAGAUACCCGGGUAGUCCCAGCCGUAAACGAUGCUCGCUAGGUGUCAGGCAUGGCGCGACCGUGUCUGGUGCCGCAGGGAAGCCGUGAAGCGAGCCACCUGGGAAGUACGGCCGCAAGGCUGAAACUUAAAGGAAUUGGCGGGGGAGCACAACAACGGGUGGAGCCUGCGGUUUAAUUGGACUCAACGCCGGACAACUCACCGGGGGCGACAGCAAUAUGUAGGCCAAGCUGAAGACUUUGCCUGAAUCGCUGAGAGGAGGUGCAUGGCCGUCGCCAGUUCGUACUGUGAAG
Molecule: ribosomal RNA, 685 nt
Filed under: uncultured archaeon
Lineage: Archaea
Description: bacterial SSU rRNA
Rfam family: Archaeal small subunit ribosomal RNA
Source: RNAcentral